UACGAAGGGGGCUAGCGUUGCUCGGAAUUACUGGGCGUAAAGGGCGCGUAGGCGGACAGUUUAGUCAGAGGUGAAAGCCCAGGGCUCAACCUUGGAGUUGCCUUUGAUACUGGCUGUCUUGAGUUCGGGAGAGGUGAGUGGAAUGCCGAGUGUAGAGGUGAAAUUCGUAGAUAUUCGGCGGAACACCAGUGGCGAAGGCGACUCACUGGCCCGAUACUGACGCUGAGGCGCGAAAGCGUGGGGAGCAAACAGG
RNAcentral lists this ribosomal RNA (253 nucleotides) under uncultured bacterium. RNAcentral's name for it is "partial 16S ribosomal RNA". It matches the Rfam family "Bacterial small subunit ribosomal RNA", at positions 524 to 776 of the family's 1533-position model. The record is from RNAcentral.